Molecule: ribosomal RNA, 1442 nt
Filed under: uncultured organism
Description: SSU rRNA
Rfam family: Bacterial small subunit ribosomal RNA
Source: RNAcentral
GCUCAUGAUGAACGCUAGCUACAGGCUUAACACAUGCAAGUCGAGGGGCAUCAGGAAGAAAGCUUGCUUUCUUUGCUGGCGACCGGCGCACGGGUGAGUAACACGUAUCCAACCUGCCCUUUACUCGGGGAUAGCCUUUCGAAAGAAAGAUUAAUACCCGAUGGCAUAAUGAUUCCGCAUGGUUUCAUUAUUAAAGGAUUCCGGUAAAGGAUGGGGAUGCGUUCCAUUAGGUUGUUGGUGAGGUAACGGCUCACCAAGCCUUCGAUGGAUAGGGGUUCUGAGAGGAAGGUCCCCCACAUUGGAACUGAGACACGGUCCAAACUCCUACGGGAGGCAGCAGUGAGGAAUAUUGGUCAAUGGGCGCUAGCCUGAACCAGCCAAGUAGCGUGAAGGAUGAAGGCUCUAUGGGUCGUAAACUUCUUUUAUAUAAGAAUAAAGUGCAGUAUGUAUACUGUUUUGUAUGUAUUAUAUGAAUAAGGAUCGGCUAACUCUGUGCCAGCAGCCGCGGUAAUACGGAGGAUCCGAGCGUUAUCCGGAUUUAUUGGGUUUAAAGGGAGCGUAGGUGGACUGGUAAGUCAGUUGUGAAAGUUUGCGGCUCAACCGUAAAAUUGCAGUUGAUACUGUCAGUCUUGAGUACAGUAGAGGUGGGCGGAAUUCGUGGUGUAGCGGUGAAAUGCUUAGAUAUCACGAAGAACUCCGAUUGCGAAGGCAGCUCACUGGACUGCAACUGACACUGAUGCUCGAAAGUGUGGGUAUCAAACAGGAUUAGAUACCCUGGUAGUCCACACAGUAAACGAUGAAUACUCGCUGUUUGCGAUAUACAGUAAGCGGCCAAGCGAAAGCAUUAAGUAUUCCACCUGGGGAGUACGCCGGCAACGGUGAAACUCAAAGGAAUUGACGGGGGCCCGCACAAGCGGAGGAACAUGUGGUUUAAUUCGAUGAUACGCGAGGAACCUUACCCGGGCUUAAAUUGCAGUGGAAUGAUGUGGAAACAUGUCAGUGAGCAAUCACCGCUGUGAAGGUGCUGCAUGGUUGUCGUCAGCUCGUGCCGUGAGGUGUCGGCUUAAGUGCCAUAACGAGCGUAACCCUUAUCUUUAGUUACUAACAGGUUAUGCUGAGGACUCUAGAGAGACUGCCGUCGUAAGAUGUGAGGAAGGUGGGGAUGACGUCAAAUCAGCACGGCCCUUACGUCCGGGGCUACACACGUGUUACAAUGGGGGGUACAGAAGGCAGCUAGCGGGUGACCGUAUGCUAAUCCCAAAAGCCUCUCUCAGUUCGGAUCGAAGUCUGCAACCCGACUUCGUGAAGCUGGAUUCGCUAGUAAUCGCGCAUCAGCCACGGCGCGGUGAAUACGUUCCCGGGCCUUGUACACACCGCCCGUCAAGCCAUGGGAGCCGGGGGUACCUGAAGUACGUAACCGCAAGGAUCGUCCUAGGGUAAAA